RNAcentral lists this ribosomal RNA (280 nucleotides) under uncultured cyanobacterium. RNAcentral's name for it is "partial 16S ribosomal RNA". It matches the Rfam family "Bacterial small subunit ribosomal RNA", at positions 338 to 633 of the family's 1533-position model. The record is from RNAcentral. Lineage: Bacteria; Bacillati; Cyanobacteriota.
CCUACGGGGGGCAGCAGUGGGGAAUUUUCCGCAAUGGGCGAAAGCCUGACGGAGCAACGCCGCGUGAGGGAUGAAGGCCUCUGGGCUGUAAACCUCUUUUCUCAAGGAAGAAGAUCUGACGGUACUUGAGGAAUAAGCCACGGCUAAUUCCGUGCCAGCAGCCGCGGUAAUACGGGAGUGGCAAGCGUUAUCCGGAAUUAUUGGGCGUAAAGCGUCCGCAGGCGGCCUCGUAAGUCUGUCGUUAAAGCGUGGAGCUUAACUCCAUUUCAGCGAUGGAAAC